GAUGAAGAACGUAGCGAAAUGCGAUAAGUAGUGUGAAUUGCAGAAUUCAGUGAAUCAUCGAAUCUUUGAACGCACAUUGCGCCCCCUGGUAUUCCGGGGGGCAUGCCUGUCCGAGCGUCAUUGCUGCCCUCAAGCACGGCUUGUGUGUUGGGCCUCCGUCCUCCUCCCGGGGGACGGGCCCGAAAGGCAGCGGCGGCACCGCGUCCGGUCCUCGAGCGUAUGGGACUUCGUCACCCGCUCUUGUAGGCCCGGCCGGCGCUUGCCGACACAUCAAUCUUUUUUCCAGGUUGACCUCGGAUCAGGUAGGGAUACCCGCUGAACUUAAGCAUAUCAAUAAGCGGAGGA
RNAcentral lists this unclassified non-coding RNA (345 nucleotides) under soil metagenome. RNAcentral's name for it is "partial contains 5.8S ribosomal RNA, internal transcribed spacer 2, and large subunit ribosomal RNA". The stretch from base 1 to 120 matches the Rfam family "5.8S ribosomal RNA", at positions 35 to 154 of the family's 154-position model. The record is from RNAcentral.